CCUACGGGAGGCAGCAGUGGGGAAUCUUGCGCAAUGGGCGGAAGCCUGACGCAGCAACGCCGCGUGCGGGAAGAAGGCCUUAGGGUCGUAAACCGCUUUCAGGGGGGACGAAGCUUCCGGGGUUAAUAGCCUACGGGGUGACGGUACUCCCAAAAGAAGGUCCGGCUAACUACGUGCCAGCAGCCGCGGUAAUACGUAGGGACCGAGCGUUGUCCGGAAUCAUUGGGCGUAAAGAGCGUGUAGGCGGCUUGGUAGGUCUCGUGUGAAAUCCCGCGGCUCAACCACGGAUCCGCACGGGAAACCCCUAAGCUCGAGUCCGGAAGAGGAGAGUGGAAUUCCUGGUGUAGCGGUGAAAUGCGCAGAUAUCAGGAAGAACACCCGUAGCGAAGGCGGCUCUCUGGGACGGUACUGACGCUGAGACGCGAAAGCGUGGGGAGCAAACAGGAUUAGAUACCCUGGUAGUCCACGCCGUAAACGAUGGGCGCUAGGUGUGGGAGGUGUCGACUCCUCCGUGCCGAAGCUAACGCAUUAAGCGCCCGCCUGGGGAGUACGGCCGCAAGGCUAAACUCAAAGGAAUUGACGG
This 583-nucleotide ribosomal RNA is filed under the name uncultured bacterium. RNAcentral's name for it is "bacterial SSU rRNA". It matches the Rfam family "Bacterial small subunit ribosomal RNA", at positions 338 to 916 of the family's 1533-position model. The record is from RNAcentral.